CAAGUCGUACGCACCCGCAAGGGUGAGUGGCGGACGGGUUAGUAAUACGAUCGAACGUACCUCGAGGUGGGGGAUAGCGGCGGGAAACUGCCGGUAAUACCCCAUGAUCUCUCCGGAGCAAAGGGUAACCGCCUUGAGAUCGGCGAUCGUCCUAUCAGCUAGUUGGCGGGGUAACGGCCCACCAAGGCGAUGACGGGUAGCAGGUGUGAGAGCACGACCUGCAACAUCGGGACUGAGACACUGCCCGGACUCCUACGGGAGGCUGCAGCGACGAAUCUUCCGCAAUGGGCGCAAGCCUGACGGAGCGACGCCGCGUGUGGGAUGAAGCGCCUCUGGCGUGUAAACCACUGUCAGGGAACAGAAACACUGAUCGUUUCCAGAGGAAGGGGCGACUAACUCUGUGCCAGCAGUCGCGGUAAGACAGAGGCCCCGAGCGUUAAUCGGAAUCACUGGGCUUAAAGGGUGCGUAGGCCGGCCCGCAAGUGCUUUGUGAAAUCCCAUGGCUCAACCAUGGAACAGCGGGGCAUACUGCGGGUCUUGAGGAAGGUAGGGGUUGCCGGAACUGUAGGUGGAGCGGUGAAAUGCGUAGAUAUCUACAGGAACGCCGAUGGUGAAGACGGGCAACUGGGCCUUUCCUGACGCUGAGGCACGAAAGCGUGGGGAGCAAACAGGAUUAGAUACCCUGGUAGUCCACGCCGUAAACGAUGUACGCUAGAUCGGUGCCGCUCUCACGCGGGAUCGGUCGUAGUAAAAACGAUAAGCGUACCGCCUGGGGAGUACGGUCGCAAGGCUAAAACUCAAAGGAAUUGACGGGGGCUCACACAA
RNAcentral lists this ribosomal RNA (825 nucleotides) under uncultured bacterium. Its description in RNAcentral is "bacterial SSU rRNA". It matches the Rfam family "Bacterial small subunit ribosomal RNA", at positions 58 to 928 of the family's 1533-position model. The record is from RNAcentral.